This is a non-coding RNA of Rattus norvegicus (Norway rat), 679 nucleotides long. The record is from RefSeq and is a predicted model, not a curated record. NCBI's taxonomy places the organism in Eukaryota, Metazoa, Chordata, Mammalia, Rodentia, Muridae.
AAUAGGGUUAAUGUUGAACAGCAGGUUAAAGAGGAAACAGACCACAGAGCCAUGCAUAUGCCAAUCUAGUGUUAUGACAGAAAGGGAAAACUGAACCAGAAGAUGCUGUCAUGAGGAAGGAGAUUAUGGAAAACAAUGAUUAUAGUCAACUGGAAUGAGCAAGAGGAGUCCUGUGUCCACAACGACUGCUCAGAAGGACCAGAAAGUACCAUGUAUGCUGCCAAGCAGGAAAGAAAUCAACAGUGUGAUUCAGCUGUGACACCUUUGGACUAUGACAAUGACCAGCAUGGCGAGAUACCUAUAAAGAUCCUCAUGGAUUACUUGACCAACUGAGCCAUUGUCCCAGACUCUAAGGAUCCAGUUUGAAAUGACAUAGACUGUGACAACUACUGGCACUGCUGAAUACACAUGAGAAAGCGUUACUUGGUAAUUUGGAUAAUAGCAGGUGGAGAGCUACUGGAAAGAGGAGAGCCCUGACACAGGGUUGAAGGUGCAGCCAAGCUCCACUUGUGAGGCACAGGGUGGAACCCAACAUAAGAUGGUAGGACCCUUGACAUACAAGAGGUACAUGGACACAAAGGUGGCAGUGCGAGUGGACCAGGACUUGAGCCUGAAAUGAUUGAUCUUCCUCUCUGUCCAGUGAUGUGUAUUCUGCAGACUGGCAUCAUGCAUCCAAAAG